Molecule: ribosomal RNA, 441 nt
Filed under: uncultured bacterium
Lineage: Bacteria
Description: partial 16S ribosomal RNA
Rfam family: Bacterial small subunit ribosomal RNA
Source: RNAcentral
CCUACGGGAGGCAGCAGUGGGGAAUAUUGCACAAUGGGGGAAACCCUGAUGCAGCGACGCCGCGUGAGCGAGGAAGUAUUUCGGUAUGUAAAGCUCGAUCAGCAGGGACGAAAAAAGACGGUACCGGACGAAGAAGCCCCGGCUAACUACGUGCCAGCAGCCGCGGUAAUACGUAGGGGGCAAGCGUUCUCCGGAUUGACUGGGGGUAAAGGGAGCGUAGACGGCACGGCAAGCCAGAAGUGAAAGGGCAGGGCUCAACCCUGUACAGGCUUUUGGAACUGUGGUGCUAGAGUGCAGGAGCGGUAAGUGGAAUUCCUCGUGUCGCGGUGCAAUGCUUCGCUCUUAGGCGGAACCCCAGUGGCGAAGGCGGCUUACUGGACUGUACCUGCCGUUGAGGCUCGACAGCGUGGGGAGCAAACAGGAUUAGCUACCCCUGUAGUC